RNAcentral lists this long non-coding RNA (802 nucleotides) under Numida meleagris (helmeted guineafowl). RNAcentral's name for it is "lncRNA (ENSNMEG00000011507.1)". The record is from RNAcentral. Lineage: Eukaryota; Metazoa; Chordata; Aves; Galliformes; Numididae.
GCAGCGUUGCAGCUUCACCACUGCUGAGCUGGAGACAGCAGCAGCUGGCACCAGCGUGGACCCAGCUCCUGAUGAGACAGGAUCUUUCCCCUUGAAGGUGCCCACAGGCUAAUGCUCUGCAGCUGGGAAGGGCCUGGUGCUGGGGAGGGAGAUGGGAAACACCUGGGGAGCCUGGAGGAGGGGCUGGAGCCUACUCCUCACAGAUCUGGCAAGGUUGGAAGCCCAGAAGAGGGCACAUCACCCCAUCGUCACAAAAUGGUGGAAGUACAGGAGCUGUUAGCCCAGAAUGAACCAAAGGAAAUGGGAACACAGCAAAACCUUCAGUGAGUGCUUUUUCCUCAUCUGGAACCUGCUAAGGGUAGAUGCAAAAAUGGUGCAGGCUGGGGUUUGCCUUGCAGUUUCGCUUACCAGCAAGGCAUCGCUGCCAUCUAGUGUCCCUGCCUUGCACUGCCAGCUCUGCACAAGGGCACAAGUUACAGCUGCUUUUACUUCUCCCUGGCCUAAAACGGACUACCUGUCUCUCACGAGCACCGUUUGGUCUGGCUUGACCUGCAGAGCACGUACCAGAGCAAGCUACCUGUGCUGCCCGAGCAAGAAGUACUUUCACUUCAGGAGGCAACUCGACCAACCACAACAAACAGUGCAAGUACAAUUCCAAACCUGGUCACCGAGCGGGUGAAGGGAAGUAGAGGAGCAGCUGAAAAGAGAAACUCUCCAAACAGACCAGAGUUUGAUUGGAUUAAAAAAAGUGUAUUGGACGUCCAAUACAAAAUAAUAAACAUGAAGUUAUUAAAAAAAGCCA